GGUUUAUGCGUUACUUUUUUUUCUUCUUGUUUUUCAGCAUUCAUCCAUCAAGCCACAGAUGACUUGGAGACAGAGACAUUGCACCGGCAGCAGCAGUAGCGACAGCAUUGUGAUCUCGAGGAGCAAGAGCAGGGAAGGAAGAGCUUCUUAUGCUGACCACAUCACAGCUAUCAUAUAGCUACGGUGUUGCUGUAGGUGAUUUAGGAGACCUCAAUGAACUGAUCCGUGCUGGUUCAGGUGAGGAGAUGCCUGAGUGGGUGGCGCAGAUGGAGAGGGACCUGUGUCGCCAUGAGAAGAUGGCCAGAUGACACGAGGGAACGUCA
Schistocerca americana (American grasshopper) is the source of this 323-nucleotide long non-coding RNA. RefSeq lists it as uncharacterized. Lineage: Eukaryota; Metazoa; Arthropoda; Insecta; Orthoptera; Acrididae. The record is from RefSeq and is a predicted model, not a curated record. The transcript is spliced from 3 exons.